CACACCUGCUGCCACCACACCGCGCGCGAGAGAGAAAGGAAGCAGCUAGUCACCCGGCAGAGAUAUCGGCGGGCAAGGAGGGGCCUCGGCGAGCGCUUCCGGGUCACGCCACCACAGCGAGUCUGCGCGGUGCGUGCUUGCCGGCCGUCGCCGUGACGCACUUCCGCUUCCGGCAAGGAGGUUCUCGGACCCCAGCCUGCUGGCCCUGGGGCGCGGGGCGUCGUGGGGGUCGUUGUCGUUGAGGGUCGUUGCCGUGUGUGGCGUCUUAGCCUGGCCCCUGGGUUGUGCCCCACGGACGCAGUCGACCCCUCUGAGCGCCUCGGGAGCCCCGAAUAGCAGCUGGGAGAAGGGGCGAGGACUGAGCCUCGCUGCCCGCUGCCGGCCGGGCUAGAGAUACGGGCGUGCCCCCCAUUGUGCGCCUCCCGCCCUCCGGUCCCCUCACCCUGCGGCCACCUGGGGCGUGGGGCGGUGCUCCUGCCCGUGCACGUAGCCGCUGCGAGCGGAGGCCUGCUCACCUGGUGCCUGCUACUCACUCCCCCGGGCCGGUGGGCGAAGGACACCCGCAGGAACUCGGCAGAGGAGAAAUUCAGACGGCUCCCGAGGGUAGGAAAAGACCCCGGCCCACCGUGGAAUCUGAAACACCCGACCACUCUGCCAUCCCAUGUUUCACCAGUCAGACCCCCAGGGCAGGGCAGGGGAAGCAGAAUGCAAACUGGGGCACCGUUUCCCUGAAGCGUGUUGGCCGCGUUUGUCGUAGUGCUAGAGGUGCAUACCCUUGGACCCCGAAAACCCAUUCCUGGGAAUUUGCUCCAAGGAAGUAAAGAUGUUACAAAGAUGGACCCACGAAGUAUGGUCGUUGGUUAUGGGUGGGGUCUUGAGGAAGGCCUUGUUAGUAGCCUGAACCCUGUUGCCAGGAGAAGCUCCAAACCGGUAGACGGAGGGAGCAGCGCGGCCUAUGUUGGGGUCUUCUCUGGGCGGGGGACAUGAUCCUAGGAUGUAGAACUAGCCUCAGAAAACUUAAGACUCAGUGGCCAGGUGCGGUGGCUCAGGCCUGUAAUCCCAGCGCUUUGGGCGGAGGUGGGUGGAUCACCUGAGGUCAGGAGUUCGAGACCCGUCUGGCCAACAUGGUGAAACCCCAUCUCUACUAAAAAUACAAAAAAUUAGCUGGGCGUGGUGGCAGGCGCCUGUAGUCCCAGCUACUCGGAAGGCUGAGGCAGGAGAAUGGCGUGAACCCGGGAGGCGGAGCUUGUAGUGAGCUGAGAUCCCGCCACUGCACUCCAGCCUGGGCGACAGAGCAAGACUGCGUCUCAAAAAAAAAAAGUUUUUUUAUGUUUAAUUUUUUGGGUACAUAGUGGGUGUGUACAUUUAUGGGGCACAUGAGAUAUUUUCAUACCGGCAUGCAGUGCGUAGUAAUCACAUGGGGUAUAUGGAGCAUCCAUCACCUCAAGCAUUUAUCCUUUGCGUUACAAAUAAUCCAAUACUAUACUCUUUUAGUCAUUUUAAAAUGUGCAAUUAAAUCAUUAUUGACUGUAGACACCCUGUUGUGCUAUCAAACACUAGGUCUUAUUCUUUCUGUCUUUUUAUACCCAUUAACCAUCCCCAUUUGCCCCCCUCCUCCCACUGUUCUACCCUUCCCAGCCUCUGGUAACCAUCUUUCUACUGUCUGUCUCCACAAAUUCAAUUGUUUUAAUUUUUAGCUCCCACAAAUAAUAGUGCUGUGAUAAACAUCGUAGCACAUGUAUCUCUUCCUUUCUUUCUUUUUUUUUUGAG
Molecule: long non-coding RNA, 1770 nt
Filed under: Homo sapiens (human)
Lineage: Eukaryota; Metazoa; Chordata; Mammalia; Primates; Hominidae
Description: non-protein coding lnc-CABLES2-7:1
Source: RNAcentral